AAACCAUGCAUUGGACAUUUUCUUAACAGCUCAUUGAAUCACUCCCAUGCUUCAUAUUAUGUUUCAUCAUCUGAUUUUCUAAAUGAUAUAAUGUCUUUCCUAAACCU
Molecule: non-coding RNA, 107 nt
Organism: Gossypium hirsutum (cotton)
Lineage: Eukaryota; Viridiplantae; Streptophyta; Magnoliopsida; Malvales; Malvaceae
Source: Rfam